AGUUCUGCUUCUGAAGCUGGAAGGGGCUUUUCGGUUGUAACCCUUGGGUUAGUUUCAGUUACUUCUUUGCUAGGUUGAGGAAAGGGUGGAAGCGCCUCCUGCAGCCACGAAUAUCCUCCAGUGCCUGAGAGAAAACGGCCUAAUCGAAAACGUCCGCGGCAUACAUCCAUUCUUAAAACUUGAGUGGCUGCUUUUCUGGGUGGAAAAGAGCGGUAUCAGACAGGGUGAGCAGUCGGGGAACGGAUGAACAAAGACUUGCACCGUGGCCCUGAUGCCUUUGUUCCGAGUUCUAUUCAGUUGUACUUGUGCGUUGUUACAGGACUUUAGAAUGCAGCCCUGCCCCCCAACCCCCACCUCCCAGGGCCGACCUGUGCUCCUAGGAAGGCAAACCUCCCAGGAAUAUAUUCUGCAUAACUAUACAAAUAGGCCUUUAUUCAAGGCUUUUGGAUUAUGACAAAGAUUACCCUCAGGAGUAGUAAGAUUCUACUAGCAGGAUAAUAGAAAGGAUUAAGGCUCCCCUCCAAAGAAAAUUUUUUUAAGUUAGAAACGGAGGCGAGCCGCAGUGGGUCAUGCCUGUAAUUUCAAUGCUUUGGAAGGCCGAGGUGGGAGGAUAGGAUAGCUUGAGGCUAGGAGUUCGAGACCAGCCUGGGCAACAUGGGGAGACCCCCCCCCAUCCCUCCAAAAAAGAAAAGAAAACUGGAAAGCCUUAAAGAAACCUUUCAAACUUUAGUGUGUAUCAGAAUUACCUGAAAGGUUUGUUAAAACAGAUUGCUGGGCCAUACCCCCAGAAUUCUCUGACUGGGCUAUCGGAAAUAAUGCCUGAGAAUGUGCAUAUCUAAUAAGUUCCUAGUUCCACUUUAGGACCCUAGAAGGUUAGUAUCUUUCCUCUCUACCAGGCUUAUCUUAGGAUGAACCGUUCGGGGUUUGCUGAUGUGAAGCUAAAACAAAAAUAUUCUUUAAAAGGAGGGAUGUCUUAUUCAGUCCAUAAGAUCAUCUAAUGUAUUAAGCUGGCUUGGGGGAUGAAUCGGGUGUUUCAUUCAUUCAUUUGACAGGUAAGCAUUGCUUACCUACUCUAUUAUGACGGGGUCUGUGCUGACUCCGAAUAUUCGGUGGGAUGCAAAAUAGUUAAGUGCUCUUGUAGAGUUUACAGAUUAGCGGAAAACAGACAAAUUGUGUUAAGAGCAAUAGAAAGAAGAGAGCGGAGGACUCUGAGAAAUGAAGGCGAGGAGUGGGAGAAUGAGAGGAAGGUGGAAGGCAGGUAAGGAGUCUGACCAGCUGGUAUUUAAAAGCUAAGAUGGGGGGAAGAGUCUCCCAGGAGAGUGAACAGCAAGUGUCAAGGACCUGAGGCAGGAACAAGCUUGGCUUCUUCCACAAAUUGAAAGAAGAUCCAUAUGAAAGAGUCAGAGAAGAUGCAAUGGGAGAUGAAGACUGAGAGAUAAGGAAGAGUGAAACAGUGCAAGAAUUUGUAGACUGCUCUAAGCAUUUUAAAGUUUAUCUUAAAAGCAGCUUGAUAAAUUAGAUUUAUGGUAAUUAGUUUAAAAAUAAAAAUAAAGCAACUUGAAAGG
Homo sapiens (human) is the source of this 1565-nucleotide long non-coding RNA. Lineage: Eukaryota; Metazoa; Chordata; Mammalia; Primates; Hominidae. The record is from Ensembl.